This 339-nucleotide ribosomal RNA is filed under the name uncultured Enterobacteriaceae bacterium. RNAcentral's name for it is "bacterial SSU rRNA". It matches the Rfam family "Bacterial small subunit ribosomal RNA", at positions 1041 to 1382 of the family's 1533-position model. The record is from RNAcentral. Lineage: Bacteria; Pseudomonadati; Pseudomonadota; Gammaproteobacteria; Enterobacterales; Enterobacteriaceae.
CUGCAUGGCUGUCGUCAGCUCGUGUUGUGAAAUGUGGGUUAAGUCCCGCAACGAGCGCAACCCUUAUCCUUUGUUGCCAGCGAGUAAUGUCGGGAACUCAAAGGAGACUGCCGGUGAUAACCGGAGGAAGGUGGGAUGACGUCAAGUCAUCAUGGCCCUUACGAGUAGGGCUACACACGUGCUACAAUGGCAUAUACAAAGAGAAGCGAACUCGCGAGAGCAAGCGGGCCUCAUAAAGUAUGUCGUAGUCCGGAUUGGAGUCUGCAACUCGACUCCAUGAAGUCGGAAUCGCUAGUAACCGUAGAUCAGAAUGCUACGGUGAAUACGUUCCCGGGCCUU